RNAcentral lists this ribosomal RNA (253 nucleotides) under uncultured bacterium. Its description in RNAcentral is "partial 16S ribosomal RNA". It matches the Rfam family "Bacterial small subunit ribosomal RNA", at positions 524 to 776 of the family's 1533-position model. The record is from RNAcentral.
UACGGAGGGCGCAAGCGUUGUUCGGAAUCACUGGGCGUAAAGCGCGUGUAGGCGGCUUAGCAAGUCGGAUGUGAAAUCCCGAGGCUCAACCUCGGAACUGCACUCGAAACUGCUUGGCUUGAGUCCCGGAGAGGGUGGCGGAAUUCCCGGUGUAGGGGUGAAAUCCGUAGAUAUCGGGAGGAACACCAGUGGCGAAGGCGGCCACCUGGACGGUGACUGACGCUGAGACGCGAAAGCGUGGGGAGCAAACAGG